UACGUAGGGUGCGAGCGUUGUCCGGAAUUAUUGGGCGUAAAGAGCUCGUAGGCGGUGCGUCACGUCGGCCGUGAAAACCUGCAGCUUAACUGUGGGCGUGCGGUCGAUACGGGCAUCACUGGAGUUCGGCAGGGGAGACUGGAAUUCCUGGUGUAGCGGUGAAAUGCGCAGAUAUCAGGAGGAACACCGGUGGCGAAGGCGGGUCUCUGGGCCGAUACUGACGCUGAGGAGCGAAAGCGUGGGGAGCAAACAGG
This 254-nucleotide ribosomal RNA is filed under the name uncultured bacterium. RNAcentral's name for it is "partial 16S ribosomal RNA". It matches the Rfam family "Bacterial small subunit ribosomal RNA", at positions 524 to 776 of the family's 1533-position model. The record is from RNAcentral.